RNAcentral lists this ribosomal RNA (1459 nucleotides) under metagenome. RNAcentral describes it as "bacterial SSU rRNA". It matches the Rfam family "Archaeal small subunit ribosomal RNA". The record is from RNAcentral.
UCCAGUUGAUCCUGCUGGAGGGUACUGCUAUCGGAGUUCGACUAAGCCAUGCAAGUCUAACCCUAGGACUUCCUGGGGUGGCAGACUGCUGAGUAACACGUAGUCAAUCUACCCUAUAGACGGGGAUAACCUCGAGAAAUUGAGGACAAUACCCGAUAUUCCUCUUAUGCUGGAAUGCUUAGAGGUUUAAAUGGGCGGUGAAUUGGAGCCGUUCCGCUGUAGGACGAGACUGCGGGGGAUUAUGGUUGUUGGUAGGGUAAUGGCUUACCAAGCCGAUAAUCUCUAGGGGCCAUGAGAGUGGUGGCCCCCAGAAGGGCACUGAGACAAGGGCCCUAGCCCUACGGGGUGCAGCAGGCGCGAAACCUCUACAAUGCUGGAAACAGUGAUAGGGGGACUCCGAGUGGCGUCGGCUAAGCUGACGUCUUUUGCCAAGUGUAAAUAGCUUGGAGAAUAAGGGUGUGGGCAAGACUGGUGGCAGCCGCCGCGGUAACACCAGCGCCUCAAGUGGUACCCACGAAUACUGGGCCUAGAGCGUUCGUAGCCGGCCAAAUAAGUCUUCUGUGAAAUAGUAUGGCUUAACCAUACUGCGCGCAGGAGAUACUGUUUGACUUGGGAACGGGGGAGGUCAGGAGUACGCCCGGGGUAGGGGUAAAAUCCUUUGAGCCUGGGCGGACUACCAGUGGCGAAGGCGCCUGACCAAAACGUGUCCGACGGUGAGGAACGAAAGCUGGGGGAGCGAACGGGAUUAGAUACCCCGGUAGUCCCAGCCGUAAAUGAUGCAGACUGUGGUGUUGCUUCAGAGUUAAUCUGCAGCAGUGCUGUAGCGUAGGUGUUAAGUCUGCCGCCUGGGGAGUACGGCCGCAAGGUUGAAACUUAAAGGAAUUGGCGGGGGAGCACCACAAGGGGUGGAUGCUACGGUUUAAUUGGAUACAACGCCGUGAACUUCACCAAGGGCGACGGCAGAAUGAAGGUCAGACUAAAGAUCUUACCUAACAAGCCGAGAGGUGUUGCAUGGCCAUCGUCAGCUCGUGGCGUGAGUUGUCAGGUUAAGUCCUGCAACGAGCGAGACCCAUACCAUUAAUUGCUACUUUUACCUUUAGUAAGAGGCACCUUAAUGGGACUGCCCGCGUUAAGUGGGAGGAAGGAGUGGGCGACGGUAGGUCAGUAUGGCCCGAAUCCCUUGGGCUACACGCGGCAUACAAUGGCUGGAACAAUGGGUUGCUACUCCGAAAGGAGACGCUAAUCCCCUAAAUCCAGUCUUAGUUCGGAUUGAGGGUUGAAACUCACCCUCAUGAAGCUGGAAUCCCUAGUAAUCGCGUGUCAUCAUCGCGCGGUGAAUACGUCCCCGCUCCUUGCACACACCGCCCGUCAAGUCACCCAAAUGUGGUGUAGGUGAGGCUCCGGUUUCUGCCGGAUUCGAACCUAUGUUGCGUGAGGGGGGCUAAGUCGUAACAAGGUA